UUGGCUAAAACCAACCAGCCCCCAGAAAGGCUGGGAACCCAGAAUAUGUAAUACAUAGAAGUCAGUCUCCCAGGGCACUUGGGAAGGCAGAGAAGGGUGGAGGUACAGCAAACAGAGAAAAUCAGGUACAGCAAACAGAGAAAAUCCUUAACAAUCUUCAUUAUCUGUCAUCAUGUCAGACCAGUAAGUCAGUUAAUCUUUUAUUGAUCAUCCUCAUGGACAUGAAGCAUCUGUAGAAGAUUGGCUUGCUGAACAGCUGAUCCAACCUCUCUCUGGAGUACCCUCCUGUAUUUAAGAAGCUGUAAAGAUAAAAACUACAUUUCCCAGACUUCCUUGCAACUAGGGCGCUGCUUGUAAUUAACUUUUCACCAGUGAUACUUGCUUAAUCUCAGAAACAGUUCAGUGGAGAGACAGAAGUCUGUGAGGCAUCAAUAUUAAAUCUCGCAGUUUGCAUUUAGGAUGUGAAGCAAUGGAUUCCUGCUAAGCAAUUCUUGCAGUGGUGUAUGCUUGGAGCCAAUACUUGCCAUGGUAGAUUACUGUACUCUGAAGGUAUUACGGUUUCAACCAUUGGUGCAGUGGUUUCCUGAACCCAGAUUCCCGAUUGUUCCCAUGUCUGGCAGCUCCGUAGCGUUGUUCUGAGAAUCCUUCCUAAAGAGCCUUCACACCUACCAGUGAGUGGUGUGAUUUUAAUCUGCAUUAAAUUAUCUGUCGUUUAAAAAUUACUAGCGUGGCUUAAUUCUCUUGAGCUGACACAGGGGCCAAGCUUGUUGCUUUCUGAAUUUUUUUUCUACUUUCGCAUUGUAAAACUGUAAUUAAAGACAAUUUGGGAGAGUAAGAAGAAAAAUGCCCACAAGCCAUGUUACUUCCCUACCUUUGCCUAAAUGUGCAGCUGGACUCUACUUUUUGCAUUAACUAUUAUCAUAAAUGUUUUCCUAGGUGUUAAGCAUCUGAAUUAUUUUUAAAGACUGCGUAAUUUUCCUUCAAAUAUUUUGAAAUACUCAAUGAUAAUACCCAAUAUUGAUACAGAUGUGAGUGAUAGGACACUAUCAUCUAUACCACUAGGAGCAUAAAUUGGUACAACUUUUUAAUUUUUUUUUGAGACGGAGCUUCACUCUUGUUUCCCAGGCUGGAGUGCAGUGGUAUGAUCUUGGCUCACUGCAACCUCCACCUCCCAAGUUCAAGCCAUUCUCCUGCCUUAGCCUCCCAAGUAGCUGAGAUUACAGGCAUGCACCAACACACCUGGCUAAUUUUGUAUUUUUAGUAGAGAUGGGGUUUCACCGUGUU
Molecule: long non-coding RNA, 1284 nt
Filed under: Homo sapiens (human)
Lineage: Eukaryota; Metazoa; Chordata; Mammalia; Primates; Hominidae
Description: HSALNT0078749
Source: RNAcentral